Long non-coding RNA from Rosa rugosa (rugosa rose), 1107 nucleotides. RefSeq lists it as uncharacterized. The transcript has 6 exons. Lineage: Eukaryota; Viridiplantae; Streptophyta; Magnoliopsida; Rosales; Rosaceae. The record is from RefSeq and is a predicted model, not a curated record.
AAUCAUUAACAUCGGUUCCUAAAAUGACCGGUGUUAAAAGUUUCGUUUGAAAAUUUGUGGGAACCUGAUUUUAGUGAAAGCGCUGAGUGUUUUAAGUGAAUUGAGGAAGCGGGUACUAAAACUUAAAACUUUCACAAUUAGACAAAAAUAGCGCCCGAUCCCAAAACUGGAACAGAUCGAAACCCUAAGCUCACUAGCUCAGUCUCAAGCUCCUCCUAAACUCGAGCUCCUCAUCUUCCUCGUCACUCAAAGUCGCCACCAUUGUUACCCUCAUUGCCUCCUUCAUCUACCUCCUUGGCUUCUUCGGCAUCGACUUCGUCCAGUCCUUUAUCUCACGAGCCUCCACUACGACGACGCCUGGGACGACGACGCCAUUGCGUCUUACUUUCUCGAAUUGAAGCUCGGCAACUGCAAGAGAGCGGCGGCGAUUCAGCGCGAGUGGCUUCUCAUCGCAGCUUCUCAUCUCCGAUCGGUAGUUUGUGGGUGGCUUCAAGAACGGUGAAUUUGUGGAGAAAGUCAAGUCCAUCUUGGAUUUUCUUCUUGGUCUACUCAAUUUAGUGAGUUCUCCAAAAUCAAGCUUUGCGCAUAAGCCCUUUUUGCAGCUCUCUAAACAAUACCAAUAUCAAUGGCUGCUUCUGUGACUGGUUUAUGUUUUGUUGUGGGUAGCAUCUAACAUUGGAAGCAUCUUAAACUUCCUAACUAUUGCCUUGUUGAUACUAAGUUGCUUGGAAGGAGCAGCAGGUUAAGAGUGGGUCUUCAAGGCGAAACUAGUGUUUAAUAGUGAAAUCCAACUGUUCAGUGGACAGUAAAGACGCGGAAAUCAUAUAGCCAAAACCAGAUUGACAAGGUGCGCAUUGAAAUGGCAGAUUAUAUACAGAGUUUAAUGUAGGACUUUUGACUACCAAGAUGAUUUUUGAGUAAGGCUAGUUUUUGCUUUGAAGCAAAGUUUGGUGUAGAACUUUUGUAGAUUGUUGCUCAUAUGUUUCUAGGCUAGUCUCUAUAGGUUUUGGGGUUUUGUUUUGUGACAUAUGUUGAAUUAUGAAUUUGGAAAGAAAAUUAAUGGAAAGCCCCAAUUUUUGGAUGACUAUGAAAUGCAUUUCUUUUCCC